Non-coding RNA from Phascolarctos cinereus (koala), 1074 nucleotides. The record is from RefSeq and is a predicted model, not a curated record. Lineage: Eukaryota; Metazoa; Chordata; Mammalia; Diprotodontia; Phascolarctidae.
UCUGAGGACACACCACCUGUGAAGUGUCAAAAGUGGGACUUGUUACCAAGCUUUCCUACAUCCGAAUACAGCUCUACAUCCAUUCCCCCAACUCUCUCAUUCCACAGAAAAGGAAACAGACCCGGAGAAGUUAUCGGGUACACCAAGAACCCAACAGAGGAGACUGGAUUCCUGACAGAUGUUCCAUUGAAGACCCAGCUUCAUACAGGACUUAGCAUAAUGCCUGGCACAUUACAGGCACUUGAUGACUGACCACUCUAGGAAGGGAGCAGAUGUUUUAAAAUGCUCGUUUUGGAAUGUUUGGGGAUUUGGAAGAAGCAUCUCCCUUUCUAGGCCACAAGGAAGAACCACCGUGUUUGGAGAAUGGUCCAAUACAAAAUAGGGAAGUGGAAUCUAGUGAAUACAAGGAGCAGGUUUUGAGGCAACUCAUUAGAAAGUCUGCUGGUGAUUCAAUGAGCAGAACUUUGUGUUCUAACUUGGAAGAUUAUACAAGAACCACAGGCUCCUGGCUCCCUGAAAAUGUGCAGCCAAGACAGGAAGGGAAGGAAAACCACGUGGCAAACAACUGGGAUGCUGGGUCUCAACUGAAAUACAUUCUCUUCAGCCACUUUAUAUACCUGUGCUCAUGAAGCCAAACUCUCAGGGUUUUACCGUGUUGACUGACCAAAUGUUAUUGAUCCUCAUCAUCCUCAUCCUCAUCCACAAUGGGCAUUUAUUUAAUGCUUUGGGAUCUACAGAGACCUUUACAAUCACCUAAUUUGAGCCUCACCAAAGCCUUGAAGAUAAAUACUAUGGGUAUUAUCCCCCUUUUACAGAGGGGCUGAAGCCCAAGGGAGGCCAAUUCACUUGCAUGUAUUCACAUAGCUAGCAAAUAUCCCAGGUAGAAUUUGAACCUAGACCUUCCUAACUCCCAAGUCCAGCAUCAUAACCAUUAACAUAAGCUAAAAUCCUAGGCACAGGAGCCCAGAAAAUAUGAUUAAACAAAGAGACAAGAGGACCAGGGGUUCCAGUCUUUCUGAGGGAUCAGGCACUCACAGGAAACCAUAAGCCUCCUCACUGGCAAGGAAUGGAAUC